UGUAUAGGUGGACAGAAUAAAAUCAAAUUACAGAUGAUGAAUCAAAUAAAAAUAAGAUGAAAAAUAGUAUUUGAUAUUAUUAGGACCAUCUUUUGUACUCUUUACAUGAGAACAUUCUUUAAGGAGGCACUUUCAAAUGAAGAUAACCUCUGAAGGAUGAUUGGAGGAAGCCUUGCUCUCAGUCCACUGAAAAGUACAAAACUGGGAAACUUGUCACUCCCAAAGAAGAAGGCCAGGACAUGGGGAAGAAGUAGCAGGAAUGACAGGGCAGAGGGAGAAAAAG
This 283-nucleotide long non-coding RNA is filed under the name Gopherus agassizii (Agassiz's desert tortoise). Its description in RNAcentral is "lncRNA (ENSGAGG00000009172.1)". The record is from RNAcentral. Lineage: Eukaryota; Metazoa; Chordata; Testudines; Testudinidae.